GGAUUUCCACAGAUUCCGAUUAUUUGCUCGAGUUGACUGAGGGUGACAGUCGUCAAUCGGACAGUGCUGGCCAAGAUGCAGGGAGUACAGAACAGAUUGGUGAAUGCCCUAUCUCAUUUCCAGGUGCACCGCUUUCAUCAGCUGGUGCCGGAGGCUUUCCAGGACUUUAGGAAGCAGACACUCCACAGGAUCCCUGCUGGGACAAACUUCUCAACAACACAAUAUAAAAGAUUACUAGAUGGAAUACAAAAGAUUACUCGCUUGAAUACAAGUUCAGUUCAUUAUUAUUGCAUUUCCAAUCAGCAUUAUCAUAAAUUCUAAAGAAUGAAACAGUUAGAAUUUUUCAAGACAGCAUUUUGAAAAUCUUUGUUUAGAUGUAUUUUAGAUAUUUUUUACAGUUAGCAUGAUAACAAUGGCCACCAUCUUGUCCCAGAAACAAUGCAAUAUCCAUGCAUUCUUGGGGGUGUGGGGGGAAAGCCACAAUUGAAAUCAAAUCCUCUGUCACAAUAGGCAUGGGCAAAAAUAUGGUUUCAAAAAUAAAACAAAUAAAAUAACAUGAAAUCAAUAUAAUUAUGAAUAAAUAAAUGAUGAAUAGAGUUUUUAAUAUUGAAAACAAAUGGAAUAAUAAAAACAUUCUUGCACACUCCUAGUUUUAUUGGAAUAUAAACAAAUAUUAAGAGGUUUUAAAUAGCAAAGUGCUUUGAAGUCUAAAGAAGUGCUGGAAAUGAAUGUUCUACUACACAACCCAACUGGAUAAAUAUUCUCUUAGUACAGCACAUUUUAAAUGGCCUAAAAAGUGCAAUGAAACACAGUAUGAACCUAUUUUUUCCAUCUGGAGACCUGGUUGACCUUUCUCAAAAAUAGCAGGUUAGCAAAGUUGCCCACAAUGUGAACAUGUUGUUAAUUAGCACACCAAAUAAACUUGCAGCCUUUGAUUCUGUUACUUCUCACUUGGUCUUCAUUCUGUAACACAUCAACACAUCUACAAAGAGAGGAAAAACAGCUGUUUUUCUCUUUAAGAGUCCAUAUACUAUAAACAAUGUGCCACUGAGGCCAAGUUUUCUAAAACUUGAGAGAUUUGAGACUAUGAGAUUUGGUGCACAGAACUUGAAAAUUGUUGCUAAAUUAUCUGCUUCAGCUGUAGGGAGUGACUGAAGCGGAUGCAUUAACUGUGGUUUCAGUGUCCUGAAAUGAACUUAAAACCAUUAGACUUAAAGUGCGUAUUAGUAGCGAAAGGACAGAUGGAUGACAUGGCUUUUUUAGCUAAGAGAAUGAAUGUAGUCCUGUUCAGACAUUAAGAUUAUGCACACACACAAUCCCAAGGGCAGGUGGAAGGGCACGUGCGUGGGGGGUAGUGGUGUUCACGGAACCGUCUGGCCCAGUUCCGUUC
Hemicordylus capensis (graceful crag lizard) is the source of this 1390-nucleotide long non-coding RNA. RefSeq lists it as uncharacterized. The transcript is spliced from 3 exons. NCBI's taxonomy places the organism in Eukaryota, Metazoa, Chordata, Lepidosauria, Squamata, Cordylidae. The record is from RefSeq and is a predicted model, not a curated record.